GAGUUUGAUCUUGGCUCAGAUUGAACGCUGGCGGCAGGCCUAACACAUGCAAGUCGGGCGGUAGAGAGAAGCUUGCUUCUCUUGAGAGCGGGCGGACGGGUGAGCAAUGCCUAGGAAUCGUGCCGUGGUAGUGGGGGAUAACGCUCGGAAACGGACGCUAAUACCGCAUACGUCCUACGGGAGAAAGCGAGGGGACCUUCGGGCCUUGCGCUAUCAGAUGAGCCUAGGUCGGAUUAGCUAGUUGGUGAGGUAAUGGCUCACCAAGGCGACGAUCCGUAACUGGUCUGAGAGGAUGAUCAGUCACACUGG
RNAcentral lists this ribosomal RNA (309 nucleotides) under uncultured bacterium. RNAcentral's name for it is "bacterial SSU rRNA". It matches the Rfam family "Bacterial small subunit ribosomal RNA", at positions 9 to 316 of the family's 1533-position model. The record is from RNAcentral.